Molecule: long non-coding RNA, 202 nt
Filed under: Mytilus galloprovincialis (Mediterranean mussel)
Lineage: Eukaryota; Metazoa; Mollusca; Bivalvia; Mytilida; Mytilidae
Source: RNAcentral
GUUUAGAUGUCUGCAAAAAUCCUACUUCCGGUAAAUUUCAACAUUGCGGACAUUGUACUAAAAUAAGCUUAUUUUUUAGGGAGGGUAAUUGAAAUGUGUUUAAACGCAUUGCUACUAACAUUACAUUGUGCAGGAACCUUUCUUUGGUGCUUCUAAUGGAUGCAAUGUAUAAAAAAUCUGACUUUAAAACCCUUACUUCCGG